GACGAACGCUGGCGGCGUGCUUAACACAUGCAAGUCGAACGGAAAGGCCCUGCUUUUGUGGGGUGCUCGAGUGGCGAACGGGUGAGUAACACGUGAGUAACCUGCCCUUGACUUUGGGAUAACUUCAGGAAACUGGGGCUAAUACCGGAUAGGAGCUCCUGCUGCAUGGGGGGGGUUGGAAAGUUUCGGCGGUUGGGGAUGGACUCGCGGCUUAUCAGCUUGUUGGUGGGGUAGUGGCUUACCAAGGCUUUGACGGGUAGCCGGCCUGAGAGGGUGACCUGCCACCUUGCGACUGCGAUACGGCCCAGACUCCUACGGUAGGCAGCAGUGGGGAAUAUUGCACAAUGGGCGGAAGCCUGAUGCAGCAACGCCGCGUGCGGGAUGACGUCCUGCUGGUUGUAAACCGCUUUCGCCUGUGACGAAGCGUGAGUGACGGUAAUGGGUGAAGAAGCACCGGCUAACUACGUG
Molecule: ribosomal RNA, 468 nt
Filed under: uncultured bacterium
Lineage: Bacteria
Description: partial 16S ribosomal RNA
Rfam family: Bacterial small subunit ribosomal RNA
Source: RNAcentral